This 723-nucleotide long non-coding RNA is filed under the name Monodelphis domestica (gray short-tailed opossum). RNAcentral describes it as "lncRNA (ENSMODG00000044574.1)". The record is from RNAcentral. Lineage: Eukaryota; Metazoa; Chordata; Mammalia; Didelphimorphia; Didelphidae.
GCUCGGGGGUUUCUAGCAGGACUCUGUCGGUUGGUUAGCGGGCCAUUGUUAACCCUCUUCCUGGGCUUUCCUGGCCCCAGAACUAGCCCGGAGCCUUGCGGAUGGCAGUGAGAGCUGCGGAAGGAAACCUCUUUACUCAGCCGCUCUGGGCAGCCUACCGGGCUCCGAAACUCCCGAGGCAAAGCCGGAAGAACCUCUCCUUCCCUCCGUCCCACGGAAGGAGCUCCGACUAGGGGAAAGUCCUGAAGGGAGAAAUCUCCAAGGCAACGAGGAAUUUCAAACGGCCGAGGUUAGAUGGAAGCCUAUGAUUUUAUCCAUAUAAAAGAGGAAGUACGGAUUUUGGGGGCUAUCCAGAUCAGCAUCGGCAUCUUUCAGUUGUUCUUGGGGAUCCUGUGGUUCUACCUCUACCUGACCCAGUUUGCAGACUCUUUUCUCACUUACAAGACCUUAAUUUGGAAUGCGAAAUACCCAUUAUUAUCAGCGUUUAUCGUGAGUAGCCCAGCCCUUGCUGUAACCGACAGACCCUUGGUGACGCCAGAAUGGGCCCGAUCGCUGGGGGAACAAACAUGGCAGACCCCAAGGAAAAGAGGGGCCAGACUCUCUCUGCUUGACCCAGGGCACAGAACAAGGAGUAAGGGGCACAGUUGCAAAAAGGGAGGCUCAGAGUCUGGAGGAGCUUCCUCACACCCCCCACAAUGGACUAAGUGCCCCUGGAGGUUGUAA